ACAGAGGGUGCAAGCGUUAAUCGGAGUUACUGGGCGUAAAGGGGGUGUAGGCUGGCAUUUAAGUCAAUUGUGAAAUCCCUGGGCUUAACCCAGGAGUUGCAGUUGAUACGGAAUAGCUUGAGUAUGGUAGAGGAAAGUGGAAUUCUCGGUGUAGCGGUUAAAUGCGUAGAUAUCGAGAAGAACACCGGUGGCGAAGGCGACCAUCUGGAUCGAUACUGACGCUGAGGCACGAAAGCGUGGGGAUCAAACAG
This 251-nucleotide ribosomal RNA is filed under the name uncultured prokaryote. Its description in RNAcentral is "partial 16S rRNA". It matches the Rfam family "Bacterial small subunit ribosomal RNA", at positions 525 to 775 of the family's 1533-position model. The record is from RNAcentral.